This 389-nucleotide ribosomal RNA is filed under the name Embryophyta sp. RNAcentral's name for it is "partial small subunit ribosomal RNA". It matches the Rfam family "Eukaryotic small subunit ribosomal RNA", at positions 582 to 975 of the family's 1831-position model. Lineage: Eukaryota; Viridiplantae; Streptophyta. The record is from RNAcentral.
AUUCCAGCUCCAAUAGCGUAUAUUUAAGUUGUUGCAGUUAAAAAGCUCGUAGUUGGAUCUUGGGUCGUAAGGGUCGGUCCGCCUACUCGGUGUGCACCUGCCCUUCCGUCCCUUUUGUCGGCGGCGUGCUCCUGGCCUUAAUUGGCUGGGUCGCGGUUCCGGCGCUGUUACUUUGAAAAAAUUAGAGUGCUCAAAGCAAGCUUAUGCUCUGAAUACAUUAGCAUGGAAUAACGUGAUAGGAGUCUGGUCCUAUUGUGUUGGCCUUCGGGACCGGAGUAAUGAUUAAUAGGGACUGUCGGGGGCAUUCGUAUUUCAUUGUCAGAGGUGAAAUUCUUGGAUUUAUGAAAGACGGACCACUGCGAAAGCAUUUGCCAAGGAUGUUUUCAUUA